This 997-nucleotide long non-coding RNA is filed under the name Numida meleagris (helmeted guineafowl). Its description in RNAcentral is "lncRNA (ENSNMEG00000011995.1)". The record is from RNAcentral. Lineage: Eukaryota; Metazoa; Chordata; Aves; Galliformes; Numididae.
AACUGUGCAGGAAUCGGAGCCCUGCAGAGGAAUGCUCUGCAAAAUGAGUCUGCUUCCCUUUCACUGUGACUGUGCUCCGUCACUUCCAGGGAAUGGGACCAACAGCCUCAGCUUCCACGGGAACAGAACACUGGGGAAACGACUCUGAAAAUGAUUCUGACGAGUUCAGCCAGAUGGAGGCUGAAGAAGACCUCAUGGGGAGGUGCCUGAGGGCCCUCCUCCAGUCCCUCCAGGAAGCAGCCAGCAGCAGGGGAAGGCAGCGGGAAGAGGAAGAAACCCUCCGCUGACGCCACACUGCGGUGUGACAGCUAGAGUGCUCGUUCUACAGAUGGACAGUGGGAAAGGCAGCAAUGCAAUGGAACCCUGGAAGGAAGAGAAGGGGCCCACAUCCUGGCAGCUGCCCACGUCCCUGCAAGUCAGUGGUGACCAGCGAAGGCCCAUGCCCUGCUGGCUUCAUCUUUGGCCUCGGGAGCACCAAGGCCAGGCUGAAAGUAGGACUGGCAACGCGGAAAGGGGCAGGGUGACAGUCACCGCUUGGGCAGAACACACCUCAGCCCAACAAAGGUUCUUGCGCUGAAGACACCUUGACGACUACAAUGUCUUCUACUGCCAUCAACGCCCACUGGCAUCAUAUGGGACCAGACUCUGCUCUGUUUCACCACGGGUUCAGCAACAACAUGCACGUGCAGCGGAGGCGCCCACCCAAGUGACGUGGAGAAACUUGUACUGGCAGCAACCUUGCUCUCCCUGGAAAGCCAGGGCCAGCCUGUAAGAAGAAAAACAUGCAGGCGUGAGCUGCUAGUUCCAGGGUUUUCCGGAAUCUUUCUCUUUCCUUUUCAGACAGGAUAUGUAUAUUUGCACUGUACGCAUCAUGUAUAUAGUCAAAUUUGUUUCCUUUAUGUAAUUCUGUUACCCUGUGCGUGUUGCUCUAGGCAUUUUCUUCCGAAGGAUGUAUCGGUGUUUAAAAAUAAAUUGUUGAACAGCUCAACUUUAAGCA